GGGGAAUUUUGGACAAUGGGCGCAAGCCUGAUCCAGCAAUGCCGCGUGCAGGACGAAGGCCUUCGGGUUGUAAACUGCUUUUGUACAGAACGAAAAAGCCUCUUCUAAUACAGGGGGUGCAUGACGGUACUGUAAGAAUAAGCACCGGCUAACUACGUGCCAGCAGCCGCGGUAAUACGUAGGGUGCAAGCGUUAAUCGGAAUUACUGGGCGUAAAGCGUGCGCAGGCGGUUUUGUAAGACAGAGGUGAAAUCCCCGGGCUCAACCUGGGAACUGCCUUUGUGACUGCAAGGCUGGAGUGCGGCAGAGGGGGAUGGAAUUCCGCGUGUAGCAGUGAAAUGCGUAGAUAUGCGGAGGAACACCGAUGGCGAAGGCAAUCCCCUGGGCCUGCACUGACGCUCAUGCACGAAAGCGUGGGGAGCAAAC
RNAcentral lists this ribosomal RNA (425 nucleotides) under uncultured bacterium. RNAcentral's name for it is "bacterial SSU rRNA". It matches the Rfam family "Bacterial small subunit ribosomal RNA", at positions 356 to 773 of the family's 1533-position model. The record is from RNAcentral.